This 702-nucleotide long non-coding RNA is filed under the name Homo sapiens (human). RNAcentral's name for it is "HSALNT0309825". Lineage: Eukaryota; Metazoa; Chordata; Mammalia; Primates; Hominidae. The record is from RNAcentral.
CAUAGUUGCUGCCUUGGAGGGUCUCGAGGAGGUGGGAUUCCACAGGAACAGCCACAAGUGCCACCUCUGCUGGAAGCCUUGCCAGGCAGACCUCGUGCAGCCAGCAGCCCAGCUUCCUGUGAGCGGCGGCUCCACACAGGCCACUGGCCCCUGGUGUCUGAGUUGCCCACUCUGGCCCUUGGCCUGCGUUUCCGUCAGGAUUCCUGUCUCCUUUAUUUGAUGUGUGGGAGUUCUAAAUGAGGCCCAAGAAUAAUCUGGUGUUUAACCAAGAUCACAGUGUAGCACUUCUACUGGUAAAAUUCUGAACCACACUUCUUUCCAGUUUUCCUGGGACUGGCUGCUUAUGUGAACUGUGCUGCAGAUUGUCUGUCUCCCGGUGGAUGCUUGGUGGUGACUGCAGGGCCUUGGCUCAGGGAGGCCAGGGUGCAGGAGGGCACCAGGGCUCCCUGCUGCGCACCCCACCCGGCCCCAACCCCAGCCCCUGCCACACAGUCCUCAGCGCCAUUCCACUGCAGGCACGUCUCGACUUACCACUCUAAACUACACAGGUGAACACUUGGUUUGCAUGCUAGUUUUAUAAACUUUUAAUUUCAAUGCAAAGUCAAAGGAAGGUGACCAAACUUUCCACAGGCAAAUUUGAAUUUUUCCAAAAUUUUAUGCAGGUGUUGGUGAAAUUUACUGCUGCCAACUAGGCCCUGGGGU